RNAcentral lists this ribosomal RNA (757 nucleotides) under uncultured Paraglomus. RNAcentral's name for it is "eukaryotic LSU rRNA". The stretch from base 368 to 757 matches the Rfam family "Eukaryotic large subunit ribosomal RNA", at positions 1 to 389 of the family's 3401-position model. Lineage: Eukaryota; Fungi; Glomeromycota; Glomeromycetes; Paraglomerales; Paraglomeraceae. The record is from RNAcentral.
GUGAAUUGUAAAAUAUCUAAUAUAUACACAACUUUUAACAAUGAAUCUCUGGGCUCUCGUAUCGAUGAAGAACGUAGUAAAGUGCGAAAAUUGGUGUGACCUGCGCAGUUUGCGAAUCAUUGAGUAUUUGAACGCAGCUUGUGGCGACACGCGGUAACGCUUGUUGUCGUGUCCUGUUGAGUGGGUGAAAUGAUGGUGCACAACUGCUAGUUUGCGCUUGAAAUGAAUUGAGUCCACUUGAGUGUAAGCAAAGGUGGAGCGAGAUUGUGUAGAUACUAGUGUGUAGAUACUGUAAAGGUUGUACUGUAAAGGUGGUACUGUAACAGUUACUACCGUGCUACUACUGUAAAGACUAACAUCUAAAAAGGGCCCAUCAGCAGGACAAGAGUACCCACUGAACUUAAGCAUAUCAGUAAGUGGAGGAAAAGAAACUAACUAGGAUUCCCUCAGUAACGGCGAGUGAAGCGGGACCAGUCCAAAUUUGUAAAGUGCCGCAAGGCACUGUUGUAAUUGCAAGAGGAUAUGGCAAUGGCACGGCCGGCUGCAUCACGCACAAGUCGCAAGGAAUGGCGCACCAUGGAGGGUGACAGUCCCGUAGUGCGUGGUGUAGGCGGCUGGCACACCUCGAAGAGUCGAGCUGUUUGGGAUUGCAGCUCAAAGCAGGUGGUAUACCCCAUCUAAGGCUAAAUAGCGACGAGAGACCGAUAGCGAACAAGUACCGUGAGGGAAAGAUGAAAAGGACUUUGAAAAGAGAGUC